RNAcentral lists this ribosomal RNA (497 nucleotides) under uncultured bacterium. RNAcentral describes it as "partial 16S ribosomal RNA". It matches the Rfam family "Bacterial small subunit ribosomal RNA", at positions 28 to 507 of the family's 1533-position model. The record is from RNAcentral.
GAUGAACGCUGGCGGCGUGCCUAAUACAUGCAAGUCGAGCGAACGGACGAGAAGCUUGCUUCUCUGAUGUUAGCGGCGGACGGGUGAGUAACACGUGGAUAACCUACCUAUAAGACUGGGAUAACUUCGGGAAACCGUAGCUAAUACCGGAUAAUAUUUUGAACCGCAUGGUUCAAAAGUGAAAGACGGUCUUGCUGUCACUUAUAGAUGGAUCCGCGCUGCAUUAGCUAGUUGGUAAGGUAACGGCUUACCAAGGCAACGAUGCAUAGCCGACCUGAGAGGGUGAUCGGCCACACUGGAACUGAGACACGGUCCAGACUCCUACGAGAGGCAGCAGUAGGGAAUCUUCCGCAAUGGGCGAAAGCCUGACGGAGCAACGCCGCGUGAGUGAUGAAGGUCUUCGGAUCGUAAAGCUCUGUUAUUAGGGAAGAACAUAUGUGUAAGUAACUGUGCACAUCUUGACGGUACCUAAUCAGAAAGCCACGGCUAACUACGUG